Acinonyx jubatus (cheetah) is the source of this 4475-nucleotide long non-coding RNA. RefSeq lists it as uncharacterized. Lineage: Eukaryota; Metazoa; Chordata; Mammalia; Carnivora; Felidae. The transcript has 3 exons. The record is from RefSeq and is a predicted model, not a curated record.
GAACCUCUGCCCGUAGUCGUACAGGCGGCCCUGGCCGCUCAGGGUGCUGUAGAUGUUGGUGAAGGACAUGCCUGUGGGCACUCGCUGCUUGCCUGCGGGACGCAGGUCCGGCUGGCAGCUGCUUAGCGAGAUGGUGGGCGUCGAGUGGUGCUCUUUGAAGGUUCUGAAACUCCUUCUCCUCCUCUUUGAGGACCUCCAGCUGCUUCAGUACUGAGUCUUGUUGGAAUUCACCCCGGUCCAUCUACAACCCAGAAACGGCCGCUCAGUGGAUUGGAGAUAGAGCAUCUCACUUGGAUGAUUCCAUUCAAUCCAUGGAGCAUGUACUGAAUUGUGGGCCAGGCGUACGCAGAUUGAGGUGCAUGAAGAUAUAGGUGUACGCAUCAGGGAGCUGGAUCUGUAGAUAAUUAUAGGACCUCGGCUGCUGGGCACUGAAGGCUUAAUGAAGGUUUUUGGAAAGAAUCACAAUGCAUAACUACCUGUGAGAUGCUGGCAACAAGGGCCACACCUGUUAUUCAUAGCAAUGACUUGAAUGUCCUAAGGGUUAUCUUCUUAGCAGAGGCCAAAGAACCUAGGGGCAAGGAUCACUUCCUGCUUCUCUUUGGGUCCCCAGCACACCCGGUACAGCGCCUUGUAUAUCGUGGUCAUUGACCAGAAUGGUUUUGGAACGGAAUCAUAGGCAAUCAUCUUGAUUUGUCAUGCCUAGCGCAGUGCCCAGUACAUGGUAGGGCCGUCACAAAUGUCCUGUUUCUGUUGGAUGGAUGAAUGAAAUGGCAUAGCUCUAAAUGACUGAAAAUUAAAAUAACAGACUGAAGGUGGAGAAUGAAGCAUGCUUGGCACACAGUGGGUACAUGAAUCUGAAUAACCACAGUGAUGCUUAUUUUGUGGCACACAGAUGCCUCCCCGGCGUCCCUUCUGCACGUGACAUGAUCUAGGACAGGCUCCCACCCACUCUCUGAGCUGGGACGUUUCUUGUUCCUUGUGACUCACUUUCUUGGUCUCUUUCUGGAGCCUCAUGAAUCAACCAGAGGGCUUCCAUACUGUUUCAUUCCAGCCAGUGCUCUGGUUCUGCCUGGAUUAGAGUUCUUUCCUCCCAGAUUCAACUUCUAAGCCUGCCCCCCCAUCAGGCUUAGAAGAGCCAUACAGGGGCCUGGGGGUAGAGGGAGUCGGGGAACUAAGGUCUCCCCAACGGGAGGCUUAGGGACAAAGCCCUCAGCAGGUCCCUCCCCCUCCACCCCACCCAACCACACACACCCUCUUAAGCGACUGCUGAGCAACCCGCACUCUUUUAGAGACAGUCUGAGGCAACCAGAAGUGAAGGGAAUUUAAGGCCCUGUUUGGGAUGGAGGACAGGCCAGGGUCCUUCCACACCAGCCUUGAUGAAACCCAUCUACGGAGACCCCCAUCCCUUCCCGGAUCUAGGCUCUGGUUUCCACUCUUGUGACGUCAGGCGUCAGGCACUGUGUUAGGCCUGGAGGAAAGAGACAUGCAAAGACUUGGGAACGUGCCCUUGGUGGAACUCCGAGAAAACUGGGGGGCUGACACGUAAGCAGAACGAUGCACUAUAAAAGAGGAGCAGGCAAAGUGUUGGGGGGAGAGCAGGAAGUGCGUGGCUCUUCCUGCAGGGGGAGGGCAAGGACAGACAAUUAUGGAGGAGGUGACAUUUGAGCUGAUUCUCAUAGGAGAGUGUGAAAUUCAACAGACAAAACCAACAGGCAGAGGGAAGAGCCUGUGGAAAGCCUCCAAGGUAAAAAAAAGACUCCAAGGCCAGGAACUGCAACGUUUUGGAAUGUCUGGAGGGCUGGGUGCGUUUCGUAGGAAGAUGGGGCUGGAAAGGCCAGCAGCCACCUCUUGAUGAAGGAAGGGCCUGCUGACAUGCUUGGCGGUCGGACUUUAUCUAGUCGACACGGGGAGCCACCGAAGGAUUUUAAGCAGGCUAGUAACAGGAUCCGAUUUGCAUUCUAGAAGGACCCUUUUUGGUGGACUCUGGAGGGUGGGCUGAAUCAGGUGGUAAAAAAAAUAAAUAAAUAAGGUGGUGAGACCACUAAGCCAUUGUAGUAGUCCAGGGAGCCACGAUGAGGCCCUAGUAGGGAAGUGAUGGUGGGAUAGAGGCAAGGGCACAUAUUUGAGACAGUUUUUUGAGGUGCAGUUGAAAGGACCUGAGAAUGAGAAUUAGAAAGAAAAAGACCAAUGAGGAAAAUGUCUGUUCGAUUCAAUAAUGUCGGUGAGCAUCUACCAGGAACUGUGAGGCUCUGAGACACAGGGACGAACAGGCAGCUCGCUCACCGUCUAGUGGAGACAGGUAAGGGAAGGGGUGAUUUCAGAGCCACACACGGUGGCUCACGUUUCUUGAGCACUUAACUGUGUUCCUUGGGCUCCAAGCCCUUUCUGCGUUUACCCAUUCAGCUGUCACCACCUCCCUGUGCUCUAUGACUUUCAUCCCCACUUCACAGAUGAGGAGACUGAGGCACAGAGAAGUCCAUGCUCUCCACGCCCUUGCCUGCUGCUGCUACUCCAAGGUAUUUUAACCAUGACAUAGUAUGCACUAGAGUUUUCUAGCAUGGCUUUCCAGAUUCCUGCUCAUAUAACUGGGUGGAUUACUGUCUAUCAACGGGAAUCAGGAAGAGGAGGGGCAGGCUUAGGUUUGCUGGAAAAGUUAUGAGUUUGCUUCUGGUAAGCAGUCUAGUUUCCGAAGAGGAACCUAUGUUUCUUGCAGACUUUUUGGGGGGAAGGGGUGGGGGAGGGGCAGGGCAUGUACCAAAUAUCUAUAAUAUUCAUGUGUGUAUAGAAUUAUGUAUAGAAUACAUAUGUAUUCUAUACUGCGCCUGGGUGGCUCAGUUGGUUGAGUGUCUGAUUUCGGCUCAGGUCAUGAUCUCACCGUCCGUGAGUUUGAGCCCCGUGUCGGACUCUGUACUAACAGCUCAGAGCCUGGAGUCAGCUUCGGAUUCUGUGUCUCCCACUCUCUCUGCCCCUCCCCUGCUCAUGCUCUGUCUCUCUCUGUCUCAAAAAUAAAUAAAAACAUUUAAAAAAUUAAAAAAAAGAAUUAUGUAUUAUGCAACAACAACGUUAUGGCAAUUUAUGCAUAUGUCUUGUCUCUCUACCGAAUAGUCAGGUUCUUUGAAAGCUGGGACUACAUCUUCGAGUCUCCCAGAACACCAAGUGCAAUGUAAUAGACGGACGACAACUCAUUGUUGGCUGAGAGUAGGUGUCUGACCUAUUAUGGGGGGGGGAGGGCACAUCUUGACUGAUGCUCUACUUCUGGAGAGCAUCCAGGCGACCAAGAAGCCUCUGGAACCAGGACCUUCAGGGCAUCGAGAUCGGGGUGGGGUCGGGAUAAGAUGGCGUUCUCACCAUCAGCUGCUUGAUGGUAGGGUGUUCCUCAGCCUCCCGACCAGACGCAGGCUCUUUGUGGACAAUCUCCACUCGGAUGUCAUUCUUGGCCGACACAACCCCUUUGAGAUCUGGACGUAAAAUAGGCAAGGACAGAUGACAGGUUCAGUCCUCAUCCUCAGGUGUUAGGGCCUGAGAUGUUGAGCCCCUGCCGCCCCCGCCACCCCCAGGGCUUACCCUUCAGUCCCUGAACUCAGUGGCUUCAGGCUCCCCGCACCGCCCCCCCCCCCCCCCCAAGUAGAACACCCGUGUGGACGUGCUGUGGGCUGUUGGGGCCUCAGCUCUCUUCCUCUGUUGGCCCUACUGCAUGCAUUUCGGCCUCUCGCUGCUGUUGUCCUGGCUUCAGACGCCAUCCACAUCCAUUUGCUUUACAGAGCUAGGUGCUUUUUAUCCCUCUCAAUUCUCACCUUCUUCUAAAAGUCUUCUCUGGCCUACUCUACCAGGCUCUGAUCUCUCCACAUAGUCACAAAUCUUACUGGUAGAAAGGACCUCAAGGUCCUGGGGCCAACCCCCCUUGCCCAAAGCGGAAACAUCACAUGGACCACAUGGGGUGGUCCAGUUCCUAUGUCAGUGUUUUCACAGUGGAGGUGUUAACGCCUUCUAGAGGGGGCGGCCCAUUAAUCCUCUGGAGAGCUCUGUCAGAAAAUUCUUGCUAAAACAUUCUCCCCUGUAAUUUCCACUGAGAAGGGGGUGAGGGAGCUUCUAGGACCACCUCACUGGGGGAAGUCAAGAGGGCCAAGGCUGCGGAAUUUGCAGCGGAGGAAACCUCGUGGGGGACAUCCAGCUUUCUUCUAGUACAUGAGAGCUGCCGAGCGGUAAUCAGGCUUACUCUGAUUAUUCAUUUUGUGCCUUAGAAUCAUAGAACGUUAGAGCCCGGGGGGCCACAAAUGUCACACCAUGUCAUCCCUUGCUGUUAGACAUGAGGAAACUGAGGCCUAGAGUAAUGGUGGCUUGCCCAAGCUCACAUGGUGGGAAAAGGUAAGGCUAGAAGACCAUGUCUCCACUGUUUUCCUCCACUCAGCCAUCCCGUCGGACGCUUCCACGCGUGUGUCUGUCGCACGAAACGUCAGGGUGUUUCCGGGGUGAAA